RNAcentral lists this non-coding RNA (28 nucleotides) under Rattus norvegicus (Norway rat). Lineage: Eukaryota; Metazoa; Chordata; Mammalia; Rodentia; Muridae. The record is from RNAcentral.
UUAUAUGGCCAUACUUGAAGGUCUUCCU